RNAcentral lists this ribosomal RNA (1234 nucleotides) under Puniceicoccales bacterium. RNAcentral's name for it is "partial 23S ribosomal RNA". It matches the Rfam family "Bacterial large subunit ribosomal RNA", at positions 1 to 2576 of the family's 2925-position model. Lineage: Bacteria; Pseudomonadati; Verrucomicrobiota; Opitutia; Puniceicoccales. The record is from RNAcentral.
CACGGAGUCGUAGAGCUGAUCCGGGCUAAAGUUCGAUGCCUGCAUCAGCGAAAACAGCUGGUAUAGCUUGGCCAAUUUCGCCAGUUUGGCAUUUAGAAUUGUCGUCUCCGCAAGCAGGUCCUUCAGCUGCGCAAACUGGCUCCUAACAUUCUGGAAGAUAACGGCAAAAAUUCCGUUUAGCAUGCCUAUUUUUCUUAGGGCGUCAUCGUCUUUUGGCAGAUAGACGCUGCCGUAGUGCACGUAGCUUUUUUCUCCGCCGGCCAACGUCACUUCAACAAAUUCGCCAUCUAGGGCGGCAUUUUUGUGGACCGUAUUGCUCGGGUCGUCUUCGCUGAAAUAGCCGACAGAAGGAUUCACUUGAUAGUUGAAAUAUACGAGCUUUCCAUUCUUAGUUGCAAUGCCGUCGCCAAACGGCGAGAGCAUAUUGGCCGCAUUUGGCCUGUCGUCAUCGCCAAGAACGCCGAAAUAGGCGCUGGCCGCAAGAAGAUCUUCUGGCGUAAUCGGUCUAGCGGUCGACAUGAACUCCAUGGUACGGACCUAAAUCGCCAUUGGAAGCGAAAAAAUUCUCUGGCGGCUGCUGCCGCGGAAAUUGCUGCGGAUAAACGGUCCUAAGGUAGCGAAAUUCCUUGUCAGGUAAGUUCUGACCUGCACGAAUCGUGUAACGAGUGGGGCGCUGUCUCGGGGAGACGCUCAGUGAAAUUGUAGUCGCGGUGAAAAUGCCGCGUACCUGCAGCAGGACGGAAAGACCCUAUGGACCUUUACUGUAACCUGGUAUUGGUGUUUGACUUUUGAUGCGUAGCAUAGGUGGGAGACCGUGAUGGGGCGUUUCAGGGCGCUCCGGAGUCAUCGUUGAAAUACCACUCUUCAUUUGUUAGAUAUCUAACCGCGAGCCAUUAGCUGGCCGCGGGACCGUGCUAGGGGGUCAGUUUGACUGGGGCGGUCUCCUCCUAAAGAGUAACGGAGGAUUGCGAAGGUUCUCUCAGGCCGGAUGGCAAUCGGUCAUAGAGCGCAUAGGUAUAAGAGAGCUUUACUGUGAGACCAACAAGUCGAGCAGUUACGAAAGUAGGUCUAAGUGAUCCGGUGGUUUAAUGUGGAAUUGCCAUCGAUUAAAGGAUAAAAGGUACCCUAGGGAUAACAGGCUGAUAGCGCCCAAGCGUUCAUAGCGACGGCGCUGUUUGGCACCUCGAUGUCGGCUCAACACAUCCUGGGGCUGGAGAAGGUCCCAAGGGUUUGG